GGGCUUCCGGCUGCACUUAACUGCACCAGCCACUGCUGUCUAUCACCCUGUUGAUAUUUGAUUGAUCUGGCUGGCUAGGUAGGUGUUCCUUUCCUCCCGCACCACUCCAUGUGCCUCACUCAUGAAUCUGUGCCUCACUCAUGAGAAGACAACCAUCCCAGAUAGGAGCAUGAUGUUCUUCAUUCUUCUGCUAGAACCUUUCAAACAACAUCCAUCUGGAAUAGUGGAAGAGGAGUGUGAAAAUAGAUUCUAAAGCCUUGACAGAAUUAAGUGCAUUGUAUUGCUGUAGCCCAUU
This 295-nucleotide small nuclear RNA is filed under the name Salvator merianae (Argentine black and white tegu). RNAcentral describes it as "7SK RNA (ENSSMRG00000010882.1)". It matches the Rfam family "7SK RNA". Rfam says of the family: 7SK was discovered as an abundant small nuclear RNA in the mid-70s but a possible function has only recently been suggested. The record is from Rfam by way of RNAcentral. Lineage: Eukaryota; Metazoa; Chordata; Lepidosauria; Squamata; Teiidae.